Molecule: ribosomal RNA, 468 nt
Filed under: uncultured bacterium
Lineage: Bacteria
Description: partial 16S ribosomal RNA
Rfam family: Bacterial small subunit ribosomal RNA
Source: RNAcentral
GACGAACGCUGGCGGCGUGCUUAACACAUGCAAGUCGAACGGAAAGGCCCUGCUUUUGCGGGGUGCUCGAGUGGCGCACGGGUGAGUAACACGUGAGUAACCUGCCCUUGAAUUUGGGGUAACUUCUGGAAACUGGGGCUAAUACCGGAUAGGAGCUCCUGCUGCAUGGUGGUGGUUGGAAAGUUUCGGCGGUUGGGGCUGGACUCGCGGCUUAUCAGCUUGUUGGUGGGGUAGUGGCUUACCAAGGCUUUGACGGGUAGCCGGCCUGGGAGGGUGACCAGGGUCAUGGGGACUGAGGGACGGCCCAGACGCCUACGUGACGCAGCGGUGGAGAGUAUGGCACAAUGGGCGGAAGCCUGUGGCGACGGCGCCGCGUGCGUGAUGACGGCCUUCGGGUUGUAAACCGCUUUCGCCUGUGACGAAGCGGGAGUGACGGUAAUGGGUAAAGAAGCACCGGCUAACUACGUG